AGAUCAUCUAAGGGAAUGGGUUUACGGCGUAGGACAAGUCAGCAUGACGGUAACUCUAUCUAGCAGACUGGAGAUCCCAAGAGCUAGAUUCAAGGAGAAAAACAAAGUUGUGGCUGACGGUUCGACAUUGUCAAUUAACUCAAUCCAUUCUCAUGAUGAAGACAAUGUUCAGGAAAAGGUUAAGACUUUAAGGCUUGUUAAUGAGGUAAUAAAACUUAAAGUUUUUUU
This 228-nucleotide unclassified non-coding RNA is filed under the name Hevea brasiliensis (rubber tree). The record is from RNAcentral. Lineage: Eukaryota; Viridiplantae; Streptophyta; Magnoliopsida; Malpighiales; Euphorbiaceae.